UUUGAUCAUGGCUCAGGAUGAACGCUAGCGGCAGGCCUAACACAUGCAAGUCGAGGGGCAGCACGUCUUCGGAUGGUGGCGACCGGCGCACGGGUGCGUAACGCGUAUGCAACCUACCUCUUACAGUGGGAUAGCCCAGAGAAAUUUGGAUUAAUACCGCAUAGUAUACAGAUUCAGCAUUUGGGACUGUAUUAAACAUUUAUGGGUAAGAGAUGGGCAUGCGUUCUAUUAGUUAGUUGGAGUGGUAACGGCACCCCAAGACAGCGAUAGAUAGGGGCCCUGAGAGGGGGAUCCCCCACACUGGUACUGAGACACGGACCAGACUCCUACGGGAGACAGCAGUGAGGAAUAUUGGACAAUGGGCGAGAGCCUGAUCCAGCCAUGCCGCGUGCAGGAAGACGGCCCUAUGGGUUGUAAACUGCUUUUGUACGGGAAGAACACCCCCUCGUGAGGGGGCUUGACGGUACCGUAAGAAUAAGGAUCGGCUAACUCCGUG
Molecule: ribosomal RNA, 496 nt
Filed under: uncultured bacterium
Lineage: Bacteria
Description: bacterial SSU rRNA
Rfam family: Bacterial small subunit ribosomal RNA
Source: RNAcentral